This 320-nucleotide long non-coding RNA is filed under the name Sus scrofa (pig). RNAcentral describes it as "lncRNA (ENSSSCG00025072517.1, ENSSSCG00070013699.1)". The record is from RNAcentral. Lineage: Eukaryota; Metazoa; Chordata; Mammalia; Artiodactyla; Suidae.
CCCGAGUUGCCGUGGCUGUGAUGUAGGCUGGCAGCUGCAGCUCCGAUUCGACCCCUAGCCUGAGAACCUCCAUAUGCCACAGGUGCAGCCCUAAAAAGCAAAAACAAAAGCAAAAAAAAAGAGGAUGAAUUUCCUUACUGUUUCAAAGAAAGAAAGCUGGUCAUUUAAAAGAAGAAGGGAAACAAAGACGCUCUCAGCAUCCUCUGGCUGCCUUUCCCACCAGCUGCUGUUGCCACGGUCAGCACCACGGACAGCAACAGCUCUGGUUUCAGAACAUGGAAACCGAAGGAAGAUUGGAUCUGUGGUGGCCUGAAAGAUCA